Molecule: unclassified non-coding RNA, 336 nt
Filed under: soil metagenome
Description: partial contains 5.8S ribosomal RNA, internal transcribed spacer 2, and large subunit ribosomal RNA
Rfam family: 5.8S ribosomal RNA (bases 2-119)
Source: RNAcentral
GUGAAGAACGUAGCGAAAUGCGAUAAGUAGUGUGAAUUGCAGAAUUCAGUGAAUCAUCGAAUCUUUGAACGCACAUUGCGCCCCUUGGUAUUCCAUGGGGCAUGCCUGUUCGAGCGUCAUCUGCACCCUCAAGCACUGCUUGGUGAUGGGCGUCUGUCCCGCCUCUGCGCGCGGACUCGCCCCAAAGGUAUUGGCAGCGGUCCUGUCCGCCUCUCGCGCAGCACAGAUGCGCUUCUCGAGGCUUCGGGGCCCGCGUCCAUGAAGCUCUUUUACCACGUUUGACCUCGGAUCAGGUAGGGAUACCCGCUGAACUUAAGCAUAUCAAUAAGCGGAGGA